Molecule: ribosomal RNA, 468 nt
Filed under: uncultured bacterium
Lineage: Bacteria
Description: partial 16S ribosomal RNA
Rfam family: Bacterial small subunit ribosomal RNA
Source: RNAcentral
GACGAACGCUGGCGGCGUGCUUAACACAUGCAAGUCGAACGGAAAGGCCCUGCUUUUGUGGGGUGCUCGAGUGGCGAACGGGUGAGUAACACGUGAGUAACCUGCCCUUGACUUUGGGAUAACUUCAGGAAACUGGGGCUAAUAUCGGAUAGGAGCUCCUGCUGCAUGGUGGGGGUUGGAAAGUUUCGGCGGUUGGGGAUGGACUCGCGGCUUAUCAGCUUGUUGGUGGGGUAGUGGCUUACCAAGGUUUUGACGGGUAGCCGGCCUGAGAGGGUGACCGGCCACAUUGGGCCUGAGAUACGGCCCAGACGCCUACGGGCGGCAGCAGUGGGGAAUAUUGCACAAUGGGCGGAAGUCUGAUGCAGCAACGCCGCGUGCGGGAAGCCGGCCUUCGGGUUGUAAACCGAUUUCGCCUGUGACGAAGCGUGAGUGACGGUAAUGGGUAAAGAAGCACCGGCUAACUACGUG